RNAcentral lists this long non-coding RNA (221 nucleotides) under Arabidopsis lyrata. RNAcentral describes it as "long non-coding RNA (ALYR_LNC001340)". Lineage: Eukaryota; Viridiplantae; Streptophyta; Magnoliopsida; Brassicales; Brassicaceae. The record is from RNAcentral.
GAGUAUGAGUGUGUGAGCUUGCCUCGUUAAAAAACUCUCUUGGAAAACCCAUUGGGACAAAACCAAGAGGAGGGAAAAAGAGUGCAAGUCACACACCUCCAAUGAUGUCACUUAAACGGCUUGAAUCACAACCAACGUGGUUGGACAAGCUUCCGGUUUAAGGCUGCCUUCAAUGUGUUGUAGAAGUGUGUUGAUAGCUUGAUUCAACAACUUAGUCUUGG